CCUACGGGAGGCAGCAGUAGGGAAUUUUCCGCAAUGGGCGAAAGCCUGACGGAGCAAUACCGCGUGAGGGAUGACGGCCUGUGGGUUGUAAACCUCUUUUCUCAAGGAAGAAGUUCUGACGGUACUUGAGGAAUAAGCAUCGGCUAACUCUGUGCCAGCAGCCGCGGUAAUACAGAGGAUGCAAGCGUUAUCCGGAAUCACUGGGCAUAAAGCGUCUGUAGGUUGUUUAGUAAGUCUGCUGUUAAAGACUGGGGCUUAACCCCAGAAAAGCAGUGGAAACUGCUAGACUCGAGUGUGGUAGAGGUAGAGGGAAUUCCUAGUGUAGCGGUGAAAUGCGUAGAUAUUAGGAAGAACACCAAUGGCGAAGGCACUCUACUGGGCCAUAACUGACACUGAGAGACGACAGCUAGGGGAGCAAACGGGAUUAGAUACCCCGGUAGUCCUAGCCGUAAACGAUGGAUACUAGAUGUUGCACGUAUUAACCCGUGCAGUAUCGUAGNUAGACGUAGUAUCCGCCUGGAGUACGCNCGCAGAGUAGAAACGUUAAAUUAGUAAGUUAGUACGGCGUGAGACGUGCCGAACGGACGACGACGAGGGAGGUAGG
RNAcentral lists this ribosomal RNA (604 nucleotides) under uncultured bacterium. Its description in RNAcentral is "bacterial SSU rRNA". The stretch from base 1 to 517 matches the Rfam family "Bacterial small subunit ribosomal RNA", at positions 338 to 873 of the family's 1533-position model. The record is from RNAcentral.